RNAcentral lists this long non-coding RNA (640 nucleotides) under Salmo salar (Atlantic salmon). Its description in RNAcentral is "lncRNA (ENSSSAG00000107516.1)". Lineage: Eukaryota; Metazoa; Chordata; Actinopteri; Salmoniformes; Salmonidae. The record is from RNAcentral.
CAGAGUCAGUGUGGAGGCUAUAUACAGGGGGUACCGGUACAGAGUCAAUGUGGAGGCUAUAUACAGGGGGUACCGGUACAGAGUCAAUGUGGAGACUAUAUACAGGGGGGUACCGGUACAGAGUCAAUGUGGAGGCUAGAUACAGGGGGGUACCGGUACAGAGUCAAUGUGGAGACUAUAUACAGGGGGGUACCGGUACAGAGUCAAUGUGGAGACUAUAUACAGGGGGGUACCGGUACAGAGUCAAUGUGGAGGCUAUAUACAGGGGGUACCGGUACAGAGUCAAUGUGGAGGCUAGAUACAGGGGGGUACCGGUACAGAGUCAAUGUGGAGGCUAUAUACAGGGGGGUACUGGUACAGAGUCAAUGUGGAGGCUAUAUACAGGGGGGUACCGGGACAGAGUCAAUGUGGAGGCUAUAUACAGGGGGUACCAGUACAGAGUCAAUGUGGAGGCUAUAUACAGGGGGUACCGGUACAGAGUCAAUGUGGAGGCUAUAUACAGGGGGGUACCGGUACAGAGUCAAUGUGGAGGCUAUAUACAGGGGGUACCGGUACAGAGUCAAUGUGGAGGCUAUAUACAGGGGGUACCGGUACAGAGUCAAUGUGGAGGCUAUAUACAGGGGGUACCGGUACAGAGUCA